RNAcentral lists this transfer RNA (77 nucleotides) under Chloroflexota bacterium. RNAcentral describes it as "tRNA-Trp". It matches the Rfam family "tRNA". From Rfam's summary of the family: Transfer RNA (tRNA) molecules are approximately 80 nucleotides in length. Their secondary structure includes four short double-helical elements and three loops (D, anti-codon, and T loops). Lineage: Bacteria; Bacillati; Chloroflexota. The record is from RNAcentral. RNAcentral also lists the same sequence under 2 other names.
AGGGGUGUAGCUCAGCCUGGAAGAGCGGCGGUCUCCAAAACCGUUGGUCGUGGGUUCGAAUCCUGCCACCCCUGCCA